This 442-nucleotide ribosomal RNA is filed under the name uncultured bacterium. RNAcentral describes it as "partial 16S ribosomal RNA". It matches the Rfam family "Bacterial small subunit ribosomal RNA", at positions 338 to 795 of the family's 1533-position model. The record is from RNAcentral.
CCUACGGGGGGCAGCAGUAGGGAAUCUUUCACAAUGGGCGAAAGCCUGAUGGAGCAACGCCGCGUGCAGGAUGAAGGCCUUCGGGUUGUAAACUGCUUUUAUAAGCGAGAAAUAUGAUGGUAACUUAUGAAUAAGGAUCGGCUAACUACGUGCCAGCAGCCGCGGUCAUACGUAGGAUCCGAGCAUUAUCCGGAGUGACUGGGUGUAAAGAGUUGCGUAGGUGGCAUAAUAAGUAGCUAGUGAAAUCUGGUGGCUCAACCAUUCAGACUAUUAGCUAAACUGUUAAGCUCGAGACCGUUAGGGGUAACAGGAAUUUCUAGUGUAGGAGUGAAAUCCGUAGAUAUUAGAAGGAACACCAAUAGCGUAGGCAGGUUGCUGGGACGGUUCUGACACUAAGGCACGAAAGCGUAGGGAGCAAACGGGAUUAGAUACCCGAGUAGUC